AUUGAACGCUGGCGGCAUGCUUUACACAUGCAAGUCGAACGGUAACAGGCCUUCGGGUGCUGACGAGUGGCGAACGGGUGAGUAAUGCAUCGGAACAUACCCAGUCGUGGGGGAUAACGUAGCGAAAGUUACGCUAAUACCGCAUACGUCCUGAGGGAGAAAGCGGGGGAUCGCAAGACCUCGCGCGAUUGGAGUGGCCGAUGUCAGAUUAGCUAGUUGGUGGGGUAAAGGCCCACCAAGGCGACGAUCUGUAGCGGGUCUGAGAGGAUGAUCCGCCACACUGGGACUGAGACACGGCCCAGACUCCUACGGGAGGCAGCAGUGGGGAAUUUUGGACAAUGGGGGAAACCCUGAUCCAGCCAUGCCGCGUGCGGGAAGAAGGCCUCGGUUGU
This 392-nucleotide ribosomal RNA is filed under the name uncultured bacterium. RNAcentral's name for it is "bacterial SSU rRNA". It matches the Rfam family "Bacterial small subunit ribosomal RNA", at positions 30 to 426 of the family's 1533-position model. The record is from RNAcentral.